CUAGACGUGAGAGUCGUACGCUGGAAGCCUGUUGCUUGCACCGGGUGGAUGAGUGGCGAACGGGUGAGUAACACGUGAGUAACCUGCCCCUGACUUCGGGAUAAGCCCGGGAAACUGGGUCUAAUACCGGAUACGACUGCCGGACGCAUGUCUGGUGGUGGAAAGUUUUUUCGGUUGGGGAUGGGCUCGCGGCCUAUCAGUUUGUUGGUGAGGUAAUGGCUCACCAAGACGACGACGGGUAGCCGGCCUGAGAGGGCGACCGGCCACACUGGGACUGAGACACGGCCCAGACUCCUACGGGAGGCAGCAGUGGGGAAUAUUGCACAAUGGGGGAAACCCUGAUGCAGCGACGCAGCGUGCGGGAUGACGGCCUUCGGGUUGUAAACCGCUUUCAGCAGGGAAGAAGCGAAAGUGACGGUACCUGCAGAAGAAGUACCGGCUAACUACGUGCCAGCAGCCGCGGUAAUACGUAGGGUACGAGCGUUGUCCGGAAUUAUUGGGCGUAAAGAGCUCGUAGGUGGUUGGUCACGUCUGCUGUGGAAACGCAACGCUUAACGUUGCGCGUGCAGUGGGUACGGGCUGACUAGAGUGCAGUAGGGGAGUCUGGAAUUCCUGGUGUAGCGGUGAAAUGCGCAGAUAUCAGGAGGAACACCGGUGGCGAAGGCGGGACUCUGGGCUGUAACUGACACUGAGGAGCGAAAGCAUGGGGAGCGAACAGGAUUAGAUACCCUGGUAGUCCAUGCCGUAAACGUUGGGCACUAGGUGUGGGGGGCAUUCCACGUUCUCCGCGCCGUAGCUAACGCAUUAAGUGCCCCGCCUGGGGAGUACGGUCGCAAGGCUAAAACUCAAAGGAAUUGACGGGGGCCCGCACAAGCGGCGGAGCAUGCGGAUUAAUUCGAUGCAACGCGAAGAACCUUACCAAGGCUUGACAUACACCAGACCGUCCUGGAAACAGGUCCUCUUCUUUGAAGCUGGUGUACAGGUGGUGCAUGGUUGUCGUCAGCUCGUGUCGUGAGAUGUUGGGUUAAGUCCCGCAACGAGCGCAACCCUCGUUCUAUGUUGCCAGCACGUGAUGGUGGGAACUCAUAGGAGACUGCCGGGGUCAACUCGGAAGAAGGUGGGGAUGACGUCAAAUCAUCAUGCCCUUUAUGUCUUGGGCUUCACGCAUGCUACAAUGG
This 1178-nucleotide ribosomal RNA is filed under the name Brevibacterium sp. PBE190. RNAcentral's name for it is "bacterial SSU rRNA". It matches the Rfam family "Bacterial small subunit ribosomal RNA", at positions 49 to 1233 of the family's 1533-position model. The record is from RNAcentral. Lineage: Bacteria; Bacillati; Actinomycetota; Actinomycetes; Micrococcales; Brevibacteriaceae.